Molecule: ribosomal RNA, 524 nt
Filed under: Cystofilobasidium capitatum
Lineage: Eukaryota; Fungi; Basidiomycota; Tremellomycetes; Cystofilobasidiales; Cystofilobasidiaceae
Description: eukaryotic LSU rRNA
Rfam family: 5.8S ribosomal RNA (bases 83-236)
Source: RNAcentral
CCUCUUUGUUGAGGUGUGUCUUUUUAAUUACCAUACCCUAUAAACACAAGUUAUUGAAUGUAAAAUCGUUAUAAACUAAUAUAACUUUCAACAACGGAUCUCUUGGUUCUCGCAUCGAUGAAGAACGCAGCGAAUUGCGAUAAGUAAUGUGAAUUGCAGAAUUCAGUGAAUCAUCGAAUCUUUGAACGCAUCUUGCGCUCUUUGGUAUUCCGAAGAGCAUGCCUGUUUGAGUGUCAUGAAACUCUCACCUCCAAUCUUUUUUAACUAGAAGGUUGGGGCGUGGACGUGAGUGCUGCUGGUGCCCUGGUUGCAUCGGCUCACUUGAAAUUCAUUAGCUGAAUCCUUUAAAGUAGGUUCUACUCGACGUGAUAAGAUCUCCGUCGAGGACAGUGCUUCGGCAUUGGCCAACGAUAAAGUUGAUACGCUUCUAAUUAGCGCAGACUUCGAGUGCUGGCAAUUUUGACAACUUGGCCUCAAAUCAGGUAGGACUACCCACUGAACUUAAGCAUAUCAAUAAGUGGAGG